This is a long non-coding RNA of Hevea brasiliensis (rubber tree), 1926 nucleotides long. RefSeq lists it as uncharacterized. Lineage: Eukaryota; Viridiplantae; Streptophyta; Magnoliopsida; Malpighiales; Euphorbiaceae. The record is from RefSeq and is a predicted model, not a curated record. The transcript is spliced from 2 exons.
GGAAUAGAGAGUUUUUAGUUUGGACGUCUCUUCCUCAAACCCUUCUCAUCUCCAAAUCUUCAAAGGGGAGAAGGAAGUGUCUAUUAGGGUUUGAAUCCUGAUCUGUUAUAUUUUCGAAAUCAGAUGCAAGUGAACAAAUGUGAUCGAUGGAUCGAUCUGUGAAGAGAAAAUGGGAGAGAGAUGGAGAUGGAUAUGAAGCAAUGUUGACAGAAGAGAGAGAGCACAACCCGCCAUUGGGUAAAGGGAAUCUUUAUUUUUGUUGGGAGUGUACUCUCUCCUCUCCUGUCAUCAUCUCAAUCCUUUCUUUCAUGUUUACCAUUCAGAUCAUUCUCCUCAUACUGCACUGUAAGCUUUUCAUGAUCUCUCUAAUUUUCAGUUACAACUUGACCAUGGCUAAUCAAGUUGAAACAUUGAGAGUAAUCAAUCAAUUACGAUGGAAGGACUGUUAAUCAGAAUAUGUUAAAGAACUAAUUAAGAAGGAAAGAAAGUGAUAUUUCUGUGAUGCAGUUCCUUGAACCAGCGCCUGUUUUUGUCAUCUAAUAGGAUACUGUUUCAGGUAUAUAUAUUAAUGCUUCUAAUUGAGGUUCAUUUCCUUGUUAUUUUUAGGCUACUGGGUAGGGAAGGGCAUAUAUAUAUAUAUCUUCUGUUUUCUAUUAAGAAAAAUAAUUUAAUUGCAUUCUGCUGCACUGCAAAGAUGAAUGAAUCUUAAUUAAUUACCCAUACCAUUUUGAUGUCUCUACCAUGUGAGGGACCAGCAAAUAUUGUCACAAAAUUUAUGUUUUAAAUAAGAAAAAAGAAAAAAAAAGGAAAAUUCCAUUCUUUACAAAAGAAUGAAUUGUUUUUAUUGAAUAUUUUAAAAUAUUUUUUUUUUUAUAUAAUUUAUUUAUAAUCGCUAUCCUCAGGUGUUCGGUCAUUAAAAUCCUAUUCUUUUUCUUAUUCAAUUUAGUUUAAUUGUUUGAAGGAGACUUCUUAGUAGUGGUCCAGCUCUUAAGGGUAAUCCCCCCUUGUCAAUUCAAGAGAUUAUGAGUGACAUUCAAAAUCUUAUAAGGGAGCUUAACUCUUUUUCUGUAUUUUUCAUCAAGAGAGACGGGAACAAGAUUGCUAAUAGCUUAGCUUCAAAAUCUGUCCGUAAUGAAUCCUUUGUUUGUUAUCCCAUAUUUUGCCUUAAUGUUUUCUACAACUUCAAUCUAAUUUAUCACUGUUUCACUACUGAAAGCUUUUAUAUAGUUUCUCUUAUAGCCAUGCAGUUCUUUCUUUGAACCUAAGGUCUUAUGGUAGAAAUAGUGACGAUCUAUUAAUCGUUGGUGGAAUCUUGCAUAGCAAAUCAAUGAAGGUAGUGAGUGAUGGAAAAUAAUUGUUCUACUUUCUGAUUUGUACGAGUUGCUUUGGUUGAAGCAAUAAUUCUACACACAUGUGGGCAUAAACAUCUGGUGGCCAUGCAAUUGAAGCAGAAUGCACGGGUAAGUAUGAAAAGAAUAAUCCAGUCCAGUGCAACAGCCAGUGGGAGGCUUAAAAUGGAACAACAUUAUACACAGAAAAGUUAAGAUGACCGUUCACUUGGCCCAUAAAAAAGCAAACAUUAAAAAAAUUUGGGAAUGGAAGGACCCAGCACAAGUCAAAUAGAAAUAUGAAUUUGCAGUCAAUUUGCAAAUUUGGGAGGUCGAUUUUGACAUGAAAUGCUUACUAUGCUAUCACUUUACCCUUGAAGCCCACCCAACUGUUAUCCCAUGGAGAGACUUCAGUUUCAUGACGGUUCGCUUCAGCGUGCCUUUCUCUCAUAAUCAAAUCAAAUCAUCUCCACUUGGUCAUCCACUUAGAAGACUAUAUUUAUAGUUAAUGAAUUGUGAUUUUUAUUGGAAUAGAAAAUUAAUUUCAUGUUGAUUUAGGAGUUAUCGCAUCUCAAUAGAAGAUAUAUUUAAUAUUGAA